GAUGAACGCUGGCGGCGUGCCUAAUACAUGCAAGUCGAGCGAACGGACGAGAAGCUUGCUUCUCUGAUGUUAGCGGCGGACGGGCGAGUAACACGUGGAUAACCUACCUAUAAGACUGGGAUAACUUCGGGAAACCGGAGCUAAUACCGGAUGAUAUUUUGAACCGCAUGGUUCAAAAGUGAAAGACGGUCUUGCUGUCACUUAUAGAUGGAUCCGCGCUGCAUUAGCUAGUUGGUAAGGUAACGGCUUACCAAGGCAACGAUGCAUAGCCGACCUGAGAGGGUGAUCGGCCACACUGGAACUGAGACACGGUCCAGACUCCUACGGGAGGCAGCAGUAGGGAAUCUUCCGCAAUGGGCGAAAGCCUGACGGAGCAACGCCGCGUGAGUGAUGAAGGUCUUCGGAUCGUAAAACUCUGUUAUUAGGGAAGAACAUAUGUGUAAGUAACUGUGCACAUCUUGACGGUACCUAAUCAGAAAGCCACGGCUAACUACGU
RNAcentral lists this ribosomal RNA (496 nucleotides) under uncultured bacterium. RNAcentral's name for it is "partial 16S ribosomal RNA". It matches the Rfam family "Bacterial small subunit ribosomal RNA", at positions 28 to 506 of the family's 1533-position model. The record is from RNAcentral.